Molecule: ribosomal RNA, 2921 nt
Filed under: Staphylococcus argenteus
Lineage: Bacteria; Bacillati; Bacillota; Bacilli; Caryophanales; Staphylococcaceae
Description: bacterial LSU rRNA
Rfam family: Bacterial large subunit ribosomal RNA
Source: RNAcentral
UUAAGUUAUUAAGGGCGCACGGUGGAUGCCUUGGCACUAGAAGCCGAUGAAGGACGUUACUAACGACGAUAUGCUUUGGGGAGCUGUAAGUAAGCUUUGAUCCAGAGAUUUCCGAAUGGGGAAACCCAACAUGAGUUAUGUCAUGUUAUCGAUAUGUGAAUACAUAGCAUAUCAGAAGGCACACCCGGAGAACUGAAACAUCUUAGUACCCGGAGGAAGAGAAAGAAAAUUCGAUUCCCUUAGUAGCGGCGAGCGAAACGGGAAGAGCCCAAACCAACAAGCUUGCUUGUUGGGGUUGUAGGACACUCUAUACGGAGUUACAAAGGACGACAUUAGACGAAUCAUCUGGAAAGAUGAAUCAAAGAAGGUAAUAAUCCUGUAGUCGAAAAUGUUGUCUCUCUUGAGUGGAUCCUGAGUACGACGGAGCACGUGAAAUUCCGUCGGAAUCUGGGAGGACCAUCUCCUAAGGCUAAAUACUCUCUAGUGACCGAUAGUGAACCAGUACCGUGAGGGAAAGGUGAAAAGCACCCCGGAAGGGGAGUGAAAUAGAACCUGAAACCGUGUGCUUACAAGUAGUCAGAGCCCGUUAAUGGGUGAUGGCGUGCCUUUUGUAGAAUGAACCGGCGAGUUACGAUUUGAUGCAAGGUUAAGCAGUAAAUGUGGAGCCGUAGCGAAAGCGAGUCUGAAUAGGGCGUUUAGUAUUUGGUCGUAGACCCGAAACCAGGUGAUCUACCCUUGGUCAGGUUGAAGUUCAGGUAACACUGAAUGGAGGACCGAACCGACUUACGUUGAAAAGUGAGCGGAUGAACUGAGGGUAGCGGAGAAAUUCCAAUCGAACCUGGAGAUAGCUGGUUCUCUCCGAAAUAGCUUUAGGGCUAGCCUCAAGUGAUGAUUAUUGGAGGUAGAGCACUGUUUGGACGAGGGGCCCCUCUCGGGUUACCGAAUUCAGACAAACUCCGAAUGCCAAUUAAUUUAACUUGGGAGUCAGAACAUGGGUGAUAAGGUCCGUGUUCGAAAGGGAAACAGCCCAGACCACCAGCUAAGGUCCCAAAAUAUAUGUUAAGUGGAAAAGGAUGUGGCGUUGCCCAGACAACUAGGAUGUUGGCUUAGAAGCAGCCAUCAUUUAAAGAGUGCGUAAUAGCUCACUAGUCGAGUGACACUGCGCCGAAAAUGUACCGGGGCUAAACAUAUUACCGAAGCUGUGGAUUGUCCUUUGGACAAUGGUAGGAGAGCGUUCUAAGGGCGUUGAAGCAUGAUCGUAAGGACAUGUGGAGCGCUUAGAAGUGAGAAUGCCGGUGUGAGUAGCGAAAGACGGGUGAGAAUCCCGUCCACCGAUUGACUAAGGUUUCCAGAGGAAGGCUCGUCCGCUCUGGGUUAGUCGGGUCCUAAGCUGAGGCCGACAGGCGUAGGCGAUGGAUAACAGGUUGAUAUUCCUGUACCACCUAUAAUCGUUUUAAUCGAUGAGGGGACGCAGUAGGAUAGGCGAAGCGUGCGAUUGGAUUGCACGUCUAAGCAGUAAGGCUGAGUAUUAGGCAAAUCCGGUACUCAUUAAGGCUGAGCUGUGAUGGGGAGAAGACAUUGUGUCUUCGAGUCGUUGAUUUCACACUGCCGAGAAAAGCCUCUAGAUAGAAAAUAGGUGCCCGUACCGCAAACCGACACAGGUAGUCAAGAUGAGAAUUCUAAGGUGAGCGAGCGAACUCUCGUUAAGGAACUCGGCAAAAUGACCCCGUAACUUCGGGAGAAGGGGUGCUCUUUAGGGUUAACGCCCAGAAGAGCCGCAGUGAAUAGGCCCAAGCGACUGUUUAUCAAAAACACAGGUCUCUGCUAAACCGUAAGGUGAUGUAUAGGGGCUGACGCCUGCCCGGUGCUGGAAGGUUAAGAGGAGUGGUUAGCUUCUGCGAAGCUACGAAUCGAAGCCCCAGUAAACGGCGGCCGUAACUAUAACGGUCCUAAGGUAGCGAAAUUCCUUGUCGGGUAAGUUCCGACCCGCACGAAAGGCGUAACGAUUUGGGCACUGUCUCAACGAGAGACUCGGUGAAAUCAUAGUACCUGUGAAGAUGCAGGUUACCCGCGACAGGACGGAAAGACCCCGUGGAGCUUUACUGUAGCCUGAUAUUGAAAUUCGGCACAGCUUGUACAGGAUAGGUAGGAGCCUUUGAAACGUGAGCGCUAGCUUACGUGGAGGCGCUGGUGGGAUACUACCCUAGCUGUGUUGGCUUUCUAACCCGCACCACUUAUCGUGGUGGGAGACAGUGUCAGGCGGGCAGUUUGACUGGGGCGGUCGCCUCCUAAAAGGUAACGGAGGCGCUCAAAGGUUCCCUCAGAAUGGUUGGAAAUCAUUCAUAGAGUGUAAAGGCAUAAGGGAGCUUGACUGCGAGACCUACAAGUCGAGCAGGGUCGAAAGACGGACUUAGUGAUCCGGUGGUUCCGCAUGGAAGGGCCAUCGCUCAACGGAUAAAAGCUACCCCGGGGAUAACAGGCUUAUCUCCCCCAAGAGUUCACAUCGACGGGGAGGUUUGGCACCUCGAUGUCGGCUCAUCGCAUCCUGGGGCUGUAGUCGGUCCCAAGGGUUGGGCUGUUCGCCCAUUAAAGCGGUACGCGAGCUGGGUUCAGAACGUCGUGAGACAGUUCGGUCCCUAUCCGUCGUGGGCGUAGGAAAUUUGAGAGGAGCUGUCCUUAGUACGAGAGGACCGGGAUGGACAUACCUCUGGUGUACCAGUUGUCGUGCCAACGGCAUAGCUGGGUAGCUAUGUGUGGACGGGAUAAGUGCUGAAAGCAUCUAAGCAUGAAGCCCCCCUCAAGAUGAGAUUUCCCAACUUCGGUUAUAAGAUCCCUCAAAGAUGAUGAGGUUAAUAGGUUCGAGGUGGAAGCAUGGUGACAUGUGGAGCUGACGAAUACUAAUCGAUCGAAGACUUAAUCAA